Molecule: transfer RNA, 59 nt
Filed under: Dehalococcoidia bacterium
Lineage: Bacteria; Bacillati; Chloroflexota; Dehalococcoidia
Description: tRNA-Asn
Rfam family: tRNA
About the family: Transfer RNA (tRNA) molecules are approximately 80 nucleotides in length. Their secondary structure includes four short double-helical elements and three loops (D, anti-codon, and T loops).
Source: RNAcentral
AUAGCUCAGCGGUAGAGCGGUCGGCUGUUAACCGAUAGGUCGUUGGUUCGAAUCCUACU